Molecule: long non-coding RNA, 1317 nt
Organism: Papaver somniferum (opium poppy)
Lineage: Eukaryota; Viridiplantae; Streptophyta; Magnoliopsida; Ranunculales; Papaveraceae
Exons: 5
Source: RefSeq, a predicted model, not a curated record
UUCUAGACAUUUCCGCCGAGUUGCAUUUUCUCUCUUUCUUCUGUAUUUUUUUUCUAAAAUUCUUACACAGGGAUGAGUUUGAUUUUUCAAAUUCCAAUCAUUUUCUUCCAAAAAAUUUCAUCUCAAACCAUAUCACAUUCUUUGCAAAAAAGAAAUCCUAAUUUGUCUUCUUAAUUUCAUCUUUUAUAGCUUCUGGAAUUUUGUUACUACUCAAUUUGUUAGGGAAACAGAAAUGGGGCUUUGUAAGAUAUAUUGGAUGAUCUACAGGUUUUUAAUUCUCAUAUCUUAUAAUCGAAUUCAAUUUUUAUUUAUUACUCUUUUUAUUUUACAAAUUCAAAAAUCAUGUUCUUCUUAAAUUCGUCAUAAAAAUCAAUCUCUCAUCUCGUUGCAUCAUCUAGGAAUUAAGCUUUACCCUAUUUAAUAAAGGAAUUCUAUAAACUACUUGUCUUUCAGGCAAAUGACCAACGAUUGGGUGUAUUAUUACCCCUCGAAUUGCUCUCAACACAGCUGAAUACUUGGCUUAUGAGUGCAGGAAGCAUGUUCUGGUUAUCCCAACAGAUAUGAGUUCUCACGCAGAUUCUCUUCAUGAGGAGUUCUCAACCAAAGAAGCCAAGAAGUGGGAAUUGCGCUCCAUAACACAUCAUGUAAACAAACUGAGCAGCGCGGACCCUCUUCUAUUCUUGGACUUGUUUGGCUUGUUUUCGUAGAUGACCUCCAAGGUGAUACUUGAUUAGAUGUCCCUAAAGAGGAGUACAGUUUCGGUAUCAACUCUUUCACGUCCUUGCAUCUAUGUACUAAUGAAGGGAGUUUGACUUUUUCUUCUGGUUUUGAUCCAACCUAUAAUAGAUUGAUAUAACAUAUAAGUAAAAUAUAUUUUUGUUAUCCUAAUUUUCAUUCAUUAUUCAUAAAUUGCAGGGUGUUAAAAUAUUACCUCAAGUAAGAAUUCAACGAAAGCUAUGUUUUCUGGAUUGCAUUGAUCAAGGUGCAUAUUCUUUGUGAGCGUCAGAACUAUUAUCUUAUUCCAGAGCACGGAGCUUCUAACACAGGCUCCUACGACAUCCGCACGUCCUCCAUUUGGUAUAACUGUUAAAGUUUGGCGGAAGUCUCCUCCCAUAACAACGGUAAAUGGAUUGCCAAUCUUAUGACGUUUGGUUCUUCCUUAUGCAUCGAAUAACCGAAUAGACGAUGUGCAGCUUCAGGCGGUCCAAUAUACCUUGCGUCAAUGUAUAUUUGCACCUCAUCUACAGAUCCAACGAUCAUUGUUGUUUUAUGAAACCUUUGUAUAUGUACUUGUUGAUAUAUUUAACUGUUCUUAUA